GAAGCUUGCUUCUUUGCUGACGAGUGGCGGACGGGUGAGUAAUGUCUGGGAAACUGCCUGAUGGAGGGGGAUACUACUGGAAACGGUAGCUAAUACCGCAUAACGUCGCAAGACCAAAAAGGGGGGACCUUCGGGCCUCUUGCCAUCGGAUGUGCCCAGAUGGGAUUAGCUAGUAGGUGGGGUAACGGCUCACCUAGGCGACGAUCCCUAGCUGGUCUGAGAGGAUGACCAGCCACACUGGAACUGAGACACGGUCCCAGACUCCUACGGGAGGCAGCAGUGGGGAAUAUAGCACAAUGGGCGCAAGCCUGAUGCAGCCAUGCCGCGUGUAUGAAGAAGGCCUUCGGGUUGUAAAGUACUUUCAGCGGGGAGGAAGGGAGUAAAGUUAAUACCUUUGCUCAUUGACGUUACCCGCAGAAGAAGCACCGGCUAACUCCGUG
RNAcentral lists this ribosomal RNA (440 nucleotides) under uncultured bacterium. RNAcentral describes it as "bacterial SSU rRNA". It matches the Rfam family "Bacterial small subunit ribosomal RNA", at positions 75 to 507 of the family's 1533-position model. The record is from RNAcentral.